Molecule: ribosomal RNA, 253 nt
Filed under: uncultured bacterium
Lineage: Bacteria
Description: partial 16S ribosomal RNA
Rfam family: Bacterial small subunit ribosomal RNA
Source: RNAcentral
UACGUAGGGUGCGAGCGUUAAUCGGAAUUACUGGGCGUAAAGUGUGCGCAGGCGGCCGAGCAAGUCGAGUGUGAAAGCCCCGAGCUUAACUUGGGAACUGCGCUCGAAACUACUUGGCUAGAGUGUGGCAGAGGGAGGUGGAAUUCCACGUGUAGCGGUGAGAUGCGUAGAGAUGUGGAGGAACACCGAUGGCGAAGGCAGCCUCCUGGGCCAACACUGACGCUCAUGCACGAAAGCGUGGGGAGCAAACAGG